UGUCACUAAACCCUGUUCACAAUGCACCCUUUAUUAAAAAUCGCAUUCGUUUUCUUUUCUUUUCCCAUGAAGUCUCAUUUCCUGCCACUGUAACGUUCAGCACCCAACAUUCUGUUUGUUUGUUUUGGCCAGCUGCAUUUAGGAGUAUUUGACUUUGUAAACACAAUCGACUCUGACAGAUUGCCGAGCUUCAUUCUCGUCCGGAUAUCCAGAGGGGAUUCCUGAUUUAGAUGGACACCGCGCUAGAGACAAAGACACAAAAAAACAGGACGUGUAAAGUCAACCAAAGGUGCGGUUUUCUUUCGCCCAUUGCUUCUACCCCCCCAUCAUUUUAUUUAUUACAUUCUUCUUUCUUUUCGUUUUAACUCAGCAUGUCCUUUCCAAAGAGACCCAGGAGAAUUCCAAUGUCAUUGUAUUAACUCUGUGCUCACAAUUGGAUUUUUAUUUUCUUUAUGUCCCUUGUAGAGUGGGCCUUGGGCUUUCAUCUUGAAAGGUCAAUAUGUGCUUAUGGUGCAUUUAUUUAUUCAUUUAUUUAUUUUCAGCCAACUUUCCUUUUUCAGUGCCUGUACUGAGCCAUAAAACACACCGAAACCUG
Molecule: long non-coding RNA, 595 nt
Organism: Silurus meridionalis
Lineage: Eukaryota; Metazoa; Chordata; Actinopteri; Siluriformes; Siluridae
Exons: 2
Source: RefSeq, a predicted model, not a curated record